This 1972-nucleotide ribosomal RNA is filed under the name Clostridioides difficile. RNAcentral's name for it is "bacterial LSU rRNA". It matches the Rfam family "Bacterial large subunit ribosomal RNA", at positions 662 to 2651 of the family's 2925-position model. The record is from RNAcentral. Lineage: Bacteria; Bacillati; Bacillota; Clostridia; Peptostreptococcales; Peptostreptococcaceae.
GGAGCCGUAGCGAAAGCGAGUUUUAACUGAGCGUUCAGUUACUUGACGUAGACCCGAAACCGGGCGACCUACCCAUGAGCAGGAUGAAGCGAAAGUAAAAUUUCGUGGAGGUCCGAACCCACGAGCGUUGAAAAGCUCGGGGAUGACUUGUGGGUAGCGGUGAAAUUCCAAUCGAGCCCGGAGAUAGCUGGUUCUCCCCGAAAUAGCUUUAGGGCUAGCCUCAAGGUGAGAGAUACGGAGGUAGAGCACUGAAUGUCCUAGGGGGUAUUGCACCUACCGAAGACUAUCAAACUCCGAAUGCCGUCAUCUUAUACUUGGGAGUCAGACUGUGGGUGAUAAGAUUCAUAGUCGAAAGGGCAACAGCCCAGAUCGUCAGCUAAGGUCCCUAAAUGUAAGUUAAGUGGUAAAGGAUGUGGGAUUGCACAGACAACCAGGAUGUUGGCUUAGAAGCAGCCACUCAUUCAAAGAGUGCGUAAUAGCUCACUGGUCGAGUGAUCCUGCGCCGAAGAUUUCCGGGGCUAAAACUUACUACCGAAGCUACGGCAUCAGUAAUGAUGGGUAGGGGAGCUUCCCAUACGGGUUGAAGCAUGACCGUAAGGACAUGUGGACAGUAUGGGAGUGAGAAUGUUGGCAUGAGUAGCGAGAUGUGGGUGAGAAUCCCACAGGCCGUAAACCCAAGGUUUCCAGGGGAAGGUUCGUCCGCCCUGGGUUAGUCGGGACCUAAGCUGAGGCCGAAAGGCGUAGGUGAUGGACAACAGGUUGAUAUUCCUGUACUACCGAUAACCGUUUGAGAGAAGGGAUGACACAGUAGGAUAAGCUAAGCACACUGUUGGUUAUGUGUGCCCAAGCAUUGAGGCAGUCAAAGUAGGCAAAUCCGCUUUGAUAAUGCUGGGAUGUGAUGGGGAGCGAAAUUUAGUAGCGAAGUAGCUGAUUUCACACUGUCAAGAAAAGUCUCUAUCGAGGUUAAAGGUACCCGUACCGCAAACCGACACAGGUGGGUGAGGAGAGUAUCCUAAGGCCAGCGAGAGAACUGUUGUUAAGGAACUCGGCAAAAUGACCCCGUAACUUAGGGAUAAGGGGUGCCACCAUCAGGUGGCCGCAGAGAAUAGGCCCAAGCGACUGUUUACCAAAAACAUAGGUUUCUGCUAAGUCGCAAGACGAUGUAUAGGAGCUGACGCCUGCCCGGUGCUGGAAGGUUAAGGGGAUCUGUUAGAGCAAUCGAAGCAGUGAACUUAAGCCCCAGUAAACGGCGGCCGUAACUAUAACGGUCCUAAGGUAGCGAAAUUCCUUGUCGGGUAAGUUCCGACCCGCACGAAAGGCGUAACGAUUUGGGCACUGUCUCAACAACAGACUCGGUGAAAUUGUAAUUCCGGUGAAGAUGCCGGAUACCUGCGACAGGACGGAAAGACCCCAUGGAGCUUUACUGUAGCUUGACAUUGGGUCUUGGUACUACAUGUACAGGAUAGGUGGGAGGCUUUGAAACCAGGACGCCAGUUUUGGCGGAGCCAUCCUUGGGAUACCACCCUUGUAGUACUGGGACUCUAACCAUAGGCCAUGAAUCUGGUCUUGGGACACUGUCAGGUGGGCAGUUUGACUGGGGCGGUCGCCUCCCAAAAGGUAACGGAGGCGCUCAAAGGUUCUCUCAGUACGGUCGGAAAUCGUACGUAGAGUGUAAAGGCAAAAGAGAGCUUGAUUGCAAGACAUACAGGUCGAGCAAGGAUGAAAAUCGGACUUAGUGAUCCGGUGGUUCUGCGUGGAAGGGCCAUCGCUCAACGGAUAAAAGCUACCCUGGGGAUAACAGGCUUAUCUCCCCCAAGAGUCCACAUCGACGGGGAGGUUUGGCACCUCGAUGUCGGCUCAUCACAUCCUGGGGCUGUAGUAGGUCCCAAGGGUUGGGCUGUUCGCCCAUUAAAGUGGUACGCGAGCUGGGUUCAGAACGUCGUGAGACAGUUCGGUCCCUAUCCGUCGCAGG